GGUUGGCUAAAACAUGCUUGUAAGCUAUAAACCAUCUCCUUACCUUAGACAGUGGUGUAACAGCAAAAUACAAACUGUAAAAAAAUUUUUAGAGAAUUUUGUUAUUACUAAGCUGAUUGUUUCAUAGUCAUAUUUCUUCAGACUUUCAGCACAAAUCUCAACCGUGCUCACACAUUACACAUUAUCUAGUGCCCAACUUCAUACCUGACAUUUAGAAC
This 218-nucleotide long non-coding RNA is filed under the name Mytilus galloprovincialis (Mediterranean mussel). Lineage: Eukaryota; Metazoa; Mollusca; Bivalvia; Mytilida; Mytilidae. The record is from RNAcentral.